Molecule: long non-coding RNA, 631 nt
Filed under: Nicotiana benthamiana
Lineage: Eukaryota; Viridiplantae; Streptophyta; Magnoliopsida; Solanales; Solanaceae
Description: long non-coding RNA (NBEN_LNC017431)
Source: RNAcentral
GAAGAUCGUUUGAAGUUGUUGCGGCCAUGAGGCUGAUGCAAAGGAGAGGAGGCGCUGAACGAUGUCGAGUCAAAAGGCAAUAUCACAAUAAAAAAUAAAUAAAAUAAAAAAAAAAAAACUUCACAAGUUUCGUUAUCUGGAAUGGAUCGAAGGGAGCAGAAGAAGCAUGCUGCUAGAAUGAACUGGAGCUCCGUGAGGAGAUGCGUAAGAAGGACGAAUUAGAGAGGCUGCUAUUGAAGCAGCUGCUUUUAAUAAGAAGGAACUAGAUUCUGACAAAUAUGAAACUUUUGACAGACAUGAUCAUAGUAUAUCCUAAUAAGAGAUCAAGGAGUGGAAUAAGUUUAUUCAAUGCUGAAAAAAAAAUCAGUGUUUACGCACCAAGGGAAAAUUUACCAAAAUUUGGAGUCAACCCUGUAUACAUAUUUAAUGGGCAAAGGAGGACAGUGAAAAGCCAAGAACAUGGGAAGCAAAGAAAGAUAAUUAACAGCAAAGCACAAAGAAAAUCUUUCCGUUUGAUUCAGUCUCGGAAUUGGAACUCCGUGGGUUUUUUUUUUUUUUUUUUUUUUUGGCGAUAAGCCACUGGCGUAUGAUACCAUGUAGAGAGUUUAGGGAGAAGUAAUUUUCUUGUAUU